Non-coding RNA from Salmo salar (Atlantic salmon), 58 nucleotides. The record is from Rfam. NCBI's taxonomy places the organism in Eukaryota, Metazoa, Chordata, Actinopteri, Salmoniformes, Salmonidae.
UGGCUCAGUUGGUAGAGCAUGGUGUUUGCAACGCCAGGUUUGUGGGUUUGAUUCCCAU